RNAcentral lists this ribosomal RNA (750 nucleotides) under uncultured marine haptophyte. RNAcentral describes it as "bacterial SSU rRNA". It matches the Rfam family "Bacterial small subunit ribosomal RNA", at positions 550 to 1310 of the family's 1533-position model. The record is from RNAcentral. Lineage: Eukaryota; Haptophyta.
AUCAUUGGGCGUAAAGCGCCUGUAGGUUGUUUAGUAAGUCUGUUGUUAAAGACUAGGGCUUAACCCUAGAAAAGCAAUGGAAACUACUAGACUAGAGUAUGGUAGGGGUAGAGGGAAUUUCUAGUGUAGCGGUGAAAUGCGUAGAUAUUAGAAAGAACACCGGUGGCGAAAGCGCUCUACUGGACCAUUACUGACACUCAGAGGCGAAAGCUAGGGUAGCAAAAGGGAUUAGAUACCCCUGUAGUCCUAGCCGUAAACGAUGGAUACUAGAUGUUGCGCUUUGUGCAGUAUCGUAGCUAACGCGUUAAGUAUCCCGCCUGGGGAGUACGCUCGCAAGGGUGAAACUCAAAGGAAUUGACGGGGGCCCGCACAAGCGGUGGAGCAUGUGGUUUAAUUCGAUGCAACGCGAAGAACCUUACCAGGGCUUGACAUACUACGAAUUUUCUUGAAAAAGAAAAGUGCCUUCGGGAAUGUAGAUACAGGUGGUGCAUGGCUGUCGUCAGCUCGUGUCGUGAGAUGUUGGGUUAAGUCCCGCAACGAGCGCAACCCUUAUUUUUAGUUACCAAUUCGUUGGGUUCUCUAGAAAGACUGCCGGUGACAAACCGGAGGAAGGUGAGGAUGACGUCAAGUCAGCAUGCCCCUUAUGUCCUGGGCUACACACGUGCUACAAUGGCUAAGACAAAGAGUUGCGAGCUCGCGAGAGUCAGCUAAUCUCAUAAACUUAGCCUAAGUUCAGAUUGUAGGCUGCAA